RNAcentral lists this long non-coding RNA (1215 nucleotides) under Chrysemys picta bellii (western painted turtle). Its description in RNAcentral is "lncRNA (ENSCPBG00000000324.1)". The stretch from base 762 to 1033 matches the Rfam family "SOX2 overlapping transcript exon 3". Lineage: Eukaryota; Metazoa; Chordata; Testudines; Emydidae. The record is from RNAcentral.
UUGGAGAUUCUGCGGGGGAAAGUCCCCCUACAUGGAACAAGCUGGGGUGGUUUCUCAAAAGAGCCACCAAGUGGAAAACAGGCUUUUGAAGUUGGCUGAACAUGCUGUAAUUAUGAAUCCAACCUUUAUUAGUACUUCAGAAAUGAGUUUUGUUACUUUAUUGAACUACUGUGCCAUUGAUUCUUAGUGUUUAUCCUCGUGAAUACAAAUUGCUCACUGUGUAUGGCAGCUUUACUUUUAAUCUCAGUGCAGGGGAGUGUAGCAAUGUGGUUGAUCAAACACAAAAGGCUAAAAAUUAAGAAUUUUUUGAGAUUUUUGAUUUACAAAAUUAUUUAAAUGUUCUUCUUUGUAAUUGAGAGGCUCUGUUGCUGCCUAAUGAAAUUACAUUGCUGCCUAAUCACAUUACAAAUCUGCAUGCAAAAAAAUAUUUGUACACAAGGUGGUGAUGUUAGCAACCAACUAUUUUUAUUCUUAACAACUCACAGUAAAUAACAACAUAUUGUUUUAUGUCUGAGACCUCCUAAGCUAACUUUGGAUGUUCAUAUAAAAACUCAGAUCAGAGAUAUCAGCAAGAAAAACUGUGAACUGAAGGUCUUCCUAAUAAACACAGAUAUCAAUGAAAAUAGGUGUUGAGCUUUAAAAAUAUCUUCAUAUCUUCCAGGGUUUCUCAUUUUCCUCUGACAUAAUUGUACCACGAGAAUCAUAGAAAAAACUUCAAAUACAAUGGUGGAAAGCGCAAGGUGUAUCAAAAAGGGACUGCAGUUAAAAGCUAGGGCUAGGAUUUGGAGGAUGUGUAGGCAAACGGAAGGAGAGCCGGGGGAAGAAAAACCGAAAUGGAUUCAUUCUCUGUCCUGGAUGGAGGAGGAGAAGAGAAGAGAAGAGAAGGGGAUGUGAAAGCUUCCUUCAACUGCCUGUCCGGUGAAAAGUGAUCAAACCCCCGGGGCUGAAGAGAACUCAAGAGUCCACGCGGACUUUCGCUUUAUCCUGCCAAUCAAACUGCUUACUAGACAACACCCUGAUCUGGCAUGGACAUGUAAGUAGCUGCAACAGAACUUUGACAUUCACGGUUCUUCCCCUCUCCCACCCCCCCGCUUCCCUGAGACCUUUUAAAAUCUGGAAAUAUACCCCCAUUUACCAAUGGCAAAUCUGAGGAUGAAACAUUACAUGUUGGGAAUGGCUUGUGGACGUCUGAGUUUUGCUCAAGUGAAAUUGUGC